AACUUUUAUUAAUUUGGGCAUUUUGUUAUAACCUAUAUAAAUAUGUAUGUUUCUGAGAAACAAACAAAUAAAUGAUUCAGCUUAGUCGGUAAAGGAAUGGAAAAAAUGUCAAAAAAAUCCCCAACUUUCAAAUUUGGGACGAUUUAAUCUUGAACUUCACAGAAGACAAAUAAAUCGUAAAGUUUGUGUUGACAUUCUAAAUAAAUGACAAAGUUUUUGUUGACUUCCCAUUUGAGUCAUGUCGUUACAUAGGUUAACAGAAUUUUUUUACGACGUUCAUGUUCCGUUUAUCUGCUCUGUUAGGACAAAACAAUGUCGUUUAUUGUAGAGACAAACAACAUCGUUUCUUCUGUUGAAACAAAUUUAAACCCUAAAUCCCCAAAUCGAUUUCAUUAUCUCAAAUCCUAUAGAGGCCGAAUCGAUUCGAAUCCCAUCUGGUGAGGAGACGAACAAUGUUCCUCAGCCCAAAUCAAAUCGAAAGAAGAGAAAACGGAAGAAGGAAGUUGAAGUAGACGACGUCGUUUUGUUAACCUACUUAACGACAUGACUGAAAUGGCAAGUCAACAAUAACUUUGUUA
RNAcentral lists this small RNA (578 nucleotides) under Arabidopsis thaliana (thale cress). RNAcentral's name for it is "ATSL087100". Lineage: Eukaryota; Viridiplantae; Streptophyta; Magnoliopsida; Brassicales; Brassicaceae. The record is from RNAcentral.